CAGUAGCCGCGGUAAUACGUAGGGUGCAAGCGUUAAUCGGAAUUACUGGGCGUAAAGCGUGCGCAGGCGUUUAUAUAAGACAGAUGUGAAAUCCCCGGGCUCAACCUGGGAACUGCAUUUGUGACUGUAUAGCUAGAGUACGGCAGAGGGGGAUGGAAUUCCGCGUGUAGCAGUGAAAUGCGUAGAUAUGCGGAGGAACACCGAUGGCGAAGGCAAUCCCCUGGGCCUGUACUGACGCUCAUGCACGAAAGCGUGGGGAGCAAACAGGAUUAGAUACCCCUGUAGUCCCUGUCUCUUAUAC
This 301-nucleotide ribosomal RNA is filed under the name uncultured bacterium. RNAcentral's name for it is "partial 16S ribosomal RNA". It matches the Rfam family "Bacterial small subunit ribosomal RNA", at positions 509 to 807 of the family's 1533-position model. The record is from RNAcentral.